UUGGUCGGCUCCCCACGCUAGAGUCCAAAAGAAAUCUGGUUGAAAAAAACAUGAAUCUUGCUCUUAUGCAGCUUUUGCUCGCUGUUGGCACCCAACCGGAACGUGUAACGGCACAGCUGGUAAAAGAGGUUGCUCGGACGCAUGGGGCCACCGCUAGGGACUUGAUGAUUGAACCCUCAGAUGAAGACUUUUGGUUCCAUGGGUCUCGGCUCAUCCUCCGCUCGAUUCGCAUCGCACUCUUCCAAUCCUCUUUUGAACUGGCCUCCUCCUUAUUUGUAUUGGACCAAUCUUUGAGGCCCAGCACUUAUCUGUUCAUGCGUUCUGGAUAGAGCAUUUGUCCUGUUCCGCUGUAAUAACAGCACACUACCGCUAUAUGCCGUCCUGAAAACUCAGAUGGGUGAGCACAGGACCAUUACCAUUGAAGAACAUGAACGAGAGAGCAUUCUUCUAUGUCAUGCUCGAGGAGCGAAAAGGAAGAGGAGUUCAGGAGAAGUGGCUUAUAAUGAAGGCGCUAUGGGUUCGGAGGAGGCGCAUGGGAGAGCUGAGCAAACACGGGUCGGGCCAAUCAGAAGGAAUCCGGCCAGUUUUGGGAGCGCGUAGCAGAAGCCCGAUACCUUGGUCCGGGGAGACUGCUAAGAUGGAGUCCAAGUCCAUGCCCGUCAACAUAUCUAGUUGGACCCACAUUUACUCAAAAAUUUAUACUACUGAGUUAUGGGCCAACUUAGAUAUAUUAACUGCCCCAAACCAUACUAGUUCUCCGACGUGGGACUUCUCUAACAUAAAUCACAUGUGUAUCUCAAUAAUCUCCUUUUCACGUGUGAGCUUGGUGUUAGAUCUGCUCCCACUUAAUUUAAGUAUUCGUCUGCACCAACAUAUCUCCAUAGGUCUGCUCUCCUUUAAUUUAAGUAUCUAUCUGCACCAACACAUCUCAAUUUGAAUCUCAAUCAACGGCCACCUUUAUCCUUGGUCUC
Long non-coding RNA from Syzygium oleosum, 971 nucleotides. RefSeq lists it as uncharacterized. The transcript has 3 exons. NCBI's taxonomy places the organism in Eukaryota, Viridiplantae, Streptophyta, Magnoliopsida, Myrtales, Myrtaceae. The record is from RefSeq and is a predicted model, not a curated record.